UUUAUCAAAAACAUGUCUGCUCGUUAUAAUGAACAGUCUGGCCUGCCCACUGAUAUAAUUAAAGGGCCGCGGUAUCCUGACCGUGCGAAGGUAGCAUAAUAAUUAGUCUUUUAAUUGAAGACUGGAAUGAAAGGUCGGACAAGAAGCACUCUGUCUCAACUUAAAUUGUUUAAAUUAACCUUUAAGUGAAAAGGCUUAAAUAAUCCUAAAGGACGAUAAGACCCUAUAAAACUUUAUUACAUUAUAUAUACUUCUCUAAUUAUUUGUGAAAAAAAAAGUAUAUAAAAAUGUAUUACGUUGGGGCGACGUAAGUAUAACAAAUAACUGCUUUACUAUAAAACAAUUAUAUUUGAAAAUAAUGAUCCUUUUUUUUUGAUUUAAAGAAAAAGUUACUUUAGGGAUAACAGCGUUAUUUUUUUUGAGAGUCCAUAUCGACAAAAAAGUUUGCGACCUCGAUGUUGAAUUAAGAUAACCUAAUGGUGCAGCAGCCACAAAGGUAGGUCUGUUCGACCUUUAAAAUCUUACA
This 526-nucleotide ribosomal RNA is filed under the name Neocallichirus maryae. Its description in RNAcentral is "partial 16S ribosomal RNA". It matches the Rfam family "Archaeal large subunit ribosomal RNA", at positions 1895 to 2669 of the family's 2987-position model. The record is from RNAcentral. Lineage: Eukaryota; Metazoa; Arthropoda; Malacostraca; Decapoda; Callianassidae.